Molecule: unclassified non-coding RNA, 326 nt
Filed under: soil metagenome
Description: partial contains 5.8S ribosomal RNA, internal transcribed spacer 2, and large subunit ribosomal RNA
Rfam family: 5.8S ribosomal RNA (bases 1-120)
Source: RNAcentral
GAUGAAGAACGUAGCGAAAUGCGAUAAGUAAUGUGAAUUGCAGAAUUCAGUGAAUCAUCGAAUCUUUGAACGCACAUUGCGCCCUUUGGUAUUCCGAAGGGCAUGCCUGUUCGAGCGUCAUUUCACCACUCAAGCCUGGCUUGGUAUUGGGCGCCGCGGUCGAUCCGCGCGCCUCAAAGUCUCCGGCUGAGCUGUCCGUCUCUAAGCGUUGUGAUUUCAUUAAUCGCUUCGGAGUGCGGGCGGCCGCGGCCGUUAAAUCUUUCACAAGGUUGACCUCGGAUCAGGUAGGGAUACCCGCUGAACUUAAGCAUAUCAAUAGCGGAGGA